Molecule: ribosomal RNA, 467 nt
Filed under: uncultured bacterium
Lineage: Bacteria
Description: partial 16S ribosomal RNA
Rfam family: Bacterial small subunit ribosomal RNA
Source: RNAcentral
UGCCAGACUCCUACGGGAGGCAGCAGUGAGGAAUAUUGGUCAAUGGGCGGGAGCCUGAACCAGCCAAGUCGCGUGAGGGAAGAAGGCCCUGCGGGUCGCAGACCUCUUUGGACGGGGAGCAAGGCCGCCGACGUGUCGGCGGAAGGAGAGUACCCGUAGAACAAGCAUCGGCUAACUCCGUGCCAGCAGCCGCGGUAAUACGGAGGAUGCGAGCGUUAUCCGGAUUUAUUGGGUUUAAAGGGUGCGUAGGCGGAAUAUCAAGUCAGCGGUAAAAAUUCGGGGCUCAACCCCGUCGUGCCGUUGAAACUGAUGUUCUUGAGUGGGCGAGAAGUAUGCGGAAUGCGUGGUGUAGCGGUGAAAUGCAUAGAUAUCACGCAGAACUCCGAUUGCGAAGGCAGCAUACCGGCGCCCAACUGACGCUGAAGCACGAAAGCGUGGGUAUCGAACAGGAUUAGAUACCCGAGUAC